ACGCGUGGAACCUUACCAGGUCUUGACAUCCCAUUGACCGCUAUGGAGACAUAGCUUUCCUUUCGGGGACAGUGGUGACAGGUGGUGCAUGGUUGUCGUCAGCUCGUGUCGUGAGAUGUUGGGUUAAGUCCCGCAACGAGCGCAACCCUUGUUCUUAGUUGCCAUCAUUUAGUUGGGCACUCUAAGGAGACUGCCGGUGACAAACCGGAGGAAGGUGGGGAUGACGUCAAAUCAUCAUGCCCCUUAUGACCUGGGCUACACACGUGCUACAAUGGACGGUACAAACGGUUGCCAACCCGCGAGGGGGAGCUAAUCCGAUAAAACCGUUCUCAGUUCGGAUUGUAGGCUGCAACUCGCCUACAUGAAGCCGGAAUCGCUAGUAAUCGCGGAUCAGCAUGCCGCGGUGAAUACGUUCCCGGGCCUUGUACACACCGCCCGU
This 439-nucleotide ribosomal RNA is filed under the name uncultured bacterium. RNAcentral's name for it is "bacterial SSU rRNA". It matches the Rfam family "Bacterial small subunit ribosomal RNA", at positions 959 to 1397 of the family's 1533-position model. The record is from RNAcentral.